Molecule: ribosomal RNA, 1013 nt
Filed under: uncultured bacterium
Lineage: Bacteria
Description: bacterial SSU rRNA
Rfam family: Bacterial small subunit ribosomal RNA
Source: RNAcentral
CACCGGCUAACUCCGUGCCAGCAGCCGCGGUAAUACGGGGGGUGCAAGCGUUGUUCGGAUUUACUGGGCGUAAAGGGCGCGUAGGCGGACCUUCAAGUCGGGUGUGAAAACUAUCGGCUCAACUGAUAGCCUGCAUUCGAUACUGUCGGUCUUGAGUACAGGAGAGGAGAGUGGAAUUCCAGGUGUAGCGGUGAAAUGCGUAGAUAUCUGGAAGAACACCAGUAGCGAAGGCGGCUCUCUGGACUGAUACUGACGCUAAAGCGCGAAGGCUUGGGGAGCAAACAGGAUUAGAUACCCUGGUAGUCCAAGCGGUAAACGAUGAGUANAUAGGUGUCGGGGGUCUCGACCCCCUCGGUGCCGCAGCUAACGCAUUAAGUACUCCGCCUGGGGAAUACGGUCGCAAGAUUGAAACUCAAAGGAAUUGACGGGGGCCCGCACAAGCGGUGGAGUAUGUGGUUUAAUUCGAAGCAACGCGCAGAACCUUACCUGGGCUUGACAUGCUUGGGUCCGCUGGUGAAAGCCGGCUUCCCCUUCGGGGGUCCUUGCACAGGUGCUGCAUGGCUGUCGUCAGCUCGUGCCGUGAGGUGUUGGGUUAAGUCCCGCAACGAGCGCAACCCUUGUCUAUAGUUGCCAUCAGGUUAUGCUGGGGACUCUAUAGAGACUGCCGGUGAUAAGCCGGAGGAAGGUGGGGAUGACGUCAAGUCCUCAUGGCCCUUACGCCCAGGGCUACACACGUACUACAAUGGCCGGUACAGAAGGUUGCAAUACCGCGAGGUGGAGCUAAUCCCUAAAACCGGCCUCAGUUCAGAUUGGAGUCUGCAACUCGACUCCAUGAAGGAGGAAUCGCUAGUAAUCGCUGAUCAGCAGGCAGCGGUGAAUACGUUCCCGGGCCUUGUACACACCGCCCGUCAAGCCACGGAAGUUGGGAGCACCCGAAGUCGCUUGCCUAACCGCAAGGAGGGCGGCGCCGAAGGUGAUACCGAUGACUGGGGCUAAGUCGUAACAAGGUAACC